GUACACGCUGUGACUAGCAUAUCAAUAAGCGGAGGAAAAGAAACUAACAAGGAUUCCCCUAGUAACGGCGAGUGAAGCGGGAAGAGCUCAAAUUUGAAAUCUUAAGGGGUUUCCCUUUACGAAUUGUAGUUUAAAGAAGUGUUUUCUGUUGAGGUUUUGGUAAAAGUUCUUUGGAAUAGGACAUCAUAGAGGGUGAGAAUCCCGUAUUUGACCUUUACUUUCAACUUUGUGAUACACUUUCAAAGAGUCGGAUUGUUUGGGAAUGCAGUCCAAAAUGGGUGGUAAAUUUCAUCUAAAGCUAAAUAUUGGCGAGAGACCGAUAGCGAACAAGUACCGUGAGGGAAAGAUGAAAAGAACUUUGAAAAGAGAGUUAAACAGUACGUGAAAUUGUCAAAAGGGAAGCGUUUGACACCAGUGUUGUUUUUCUGAAAAUCAAUUAAAGAACUGUUUAUGCUAAGUUGUUUAGACUUUAUCAGCUAACUGUUUAGUUUUGAGCUUUUCUUUAAUGCACUUUUCAGUUAACAAGUCAACAUCAAUUUCUUUUGCUGUAAAAAAGCUUGAGGAAGGUGGCUUGAGAUUCGUCUUAAGUGUUUAUAGCCUCUUGCCUAUGCGGUCGGAGAGAUUGAGGUCUGCAGCGUAGAUCCUUCGGGGCUAAAUGCAUUUGUGCUAAGUUAUAGCAUUUUAUAGACAACUUGUUGACUAUGAUUUGUCUUGUAGCUUACUCGCUUAUGUUAUUUUACCUACGCUUAGGAUGUUGAGCGCAUGUCUCUCUCU
Molecule: ribosomal RNA, 774 nt
Filed under: uncultured Neocallimastigales
Lineage: Eukaryota; Fungi; Neocallimastigomycota; Neocallimastigomycetes; Neocallimastigales
Description: partial large subunit ribosomal RNA
Rfam family: Eukaryotic large subunit ribosomal RNA
Source: RNAcentral